GGAGUUGUGGCUCAGUGGUAGAGCGCUCAUCUCGUACAUGCGGAGCCCUGGGUUCGAUCUUCAGCGCCA
Molecule: transfer RNA, 69 nt
Filed under: Marmota monax (woodchuck)
Lineage: Eukaryota; Metazoa; Chordata; Mammalia; Rodentia; Sciuridae
Description: tRNA.Thr
Source: RNAcentral